This 478-nucleotide long non-coding RNA is filed under the name Equus caballus (horse). RNAcentral's name for it is "lncRNA (ENSECAG00000055162.1)". The record is from RNAcentral. Lineage: Eukaryota; Metazoa; Chordata; Mammalia; Perissodactyla; Equidae.
CCCGUAUCCCUUCCGACAACAGGGGCACAUUUUGGGCAAUGAAUUUGAGGAAGAGCAGUUGGGGUUUGUACAUGCUCUAAGGAUCAGAGCCAAGGCACAGAUAUGAGUAUGACUUUAGCAGUUUUCUUGAAUUUUGAGGGUGAGACAUUUCUCUUCUGUAGAGAGCCAGCUCGGCCAACAUGUCCUGGUUUGCCUGGGACUUUCCUGGUUUCAGCACUUAAAUUUCCACAUCCUGGGAAGCCCCUGCCACACUGGGACAGUUGGCCCCCCCCCGAGCCAGUAGUGACCAGACCAACCCUCUACUGGACUGUUUGGCAAAGAUUAGGCACAGAAUUCCCUUGGCUAUUUGUGGACUUUUACUCUUCUUUAUAAGUUUUUAGAAUUAAUCUUUCCACUUGAAAAAUCAUCUUGAAUUCAAGUUCCGGGGAUCUAAGGCACGGCAGCCAAACCUGAUUUUAAAAGAAAAUAUUUAAGAGAU